Molecule: ribosomal RNA, 495 nt
Filed under: uncultured bacterium
Lineage: Bacteria
Description: partial 16S ribosomal RNA
Rfam family: Bacterial small subunit ribosomal RNA
Source: RNAcentral
GACGAACGCUGGCGGCGUGCCUAAUACAUGCAAGUAGAACGCUGAAGGAGGAGCUUGCUUCUCUGGAUGAGUACCGAACGGGUGAGUAACGCGUAGGUAACCUGUCUGGUAGCGGGGGAUAACUAUUGGAAACGAUAGCUAAUACCGCAUAAGAGUCGAUGUCGCAUGACAUUUGCUCUAAAGGUGCAAUUGCAUCACUACCAGAUGGACCUUCGUAUUAUUUGCGAGGUGGGGCGUUAACGGCUCACCAAGGCAACGAUACAUACCCGGCCUCAGGGGGGGGUCAGCCACCCUGGGAAUGAGGCACGACCCAGACAACCUGAAGAGGCAGCAGUAGGGGAGCUGCGGGGAUGGGGCGAAGUCAGACCAAGCAACGCCGCGUGAGUGAAGGUGGUCUUCGGGACGUAAAGCGCUGUUGUGGGAGAAGAGCGCGUGUGGGGGUGGAAAGUUCACGCUGUGACGGUACCUUAGCAGGAAGCGACGGCUAACUACGUG